Molecule: transfer RNA, 72 nt
Filed under: Roseobacter phage DSS3P8
Lineage: Duplodnaviria; Heunggongvirae; Uroviricota; Caudoviricetes
Rfam family: tRNA
About the family: Transfer RNA (tRNA) molecules are approximately 80 nucleotides in length.
Source: Rfam by way of RNAcentral
GCAGGUAUAGCUCAGCGGAAGAGCAUCUGGUUGCCAAUCAGAAGGCCGUGGGUUCGACCCCCACUACCUGCU